UUGGAUUAGCUUGUGAAGGAGAUCGAAAUGGAGGAGGUGGUGGAAGUGGAGGAGGAGAGAGUGGGAAUGUAGAAAUGGAGAGAGAGAGAGAGAGAGAGAGAGAGAGAGAGAGAGAGAGAGAGAGAGAUUAGGUUAGUGUUGUUUUGAUGGGGGGUUUUGUAUUUAUAAAGGGAGAGGACGGUGGAGGGGAGGGAAUAGCUAAUGAGAGAAAGAGAAGGGGAUUAUGGGGAGAGUGGGAGAAAUUCUUGCAUGGACCUGGUUUACCAUGUCAUCGGUUGACUGGAUAAACCCUCAUUUGCAUCAUUAUGUUCUACUACACUAUACUAUAGUUUUUCAUCUGUUAAAGAAGAUAACUUUUAAAUAUCAAAAAACUAUAGUUCGAUUAAGUGACGAAGAUUGAUUGGAAGAAGCACUACAAGACAAUAUAAUUAACUAUACAAGAAAAUAUAAUUACCACCUAUCACUUUUUAGUUUUUUUUUAAGUUAGUCUUUCUGCUCUUGUCGAUCUAUUCUUUUUCUUGACUUUUUACUGUCAUCGAGAUCUUAUUUGUCUUACUUCAUGUAGCUAAAUUUAUUUCUCUAAUGAAUAAAGCAGAUAGUGUGCUAUCUUUCUCUCUCUCAAAAAAAAAAAAAAGCAGACGAAAUUAUAUGACAAUGCGCGCGAUCGAACAUGACGCGUAAUUAUUGAGAAUUCAAAAUCGAUGUGAUAAAAAGUAAUAUGUUUAAUUGAUCUAUAAAUUGAUAUAUGGCUAAACACAAGAUCCAUAUAUGUUUGGUGGACUAUGUACACACAAUUACAAUUCUCAUGUAAGCAUUGAACAAAGUGAUAUAAGGGGUGGAAUAACCCCUUAACCCCCAUUUUAUCCCCAAACGCUCCAAAAAAUAGGUGGGGUUAGCUAACCCUACCUAACCCCACCUCAAAUAAAUUAUUCCGGGUUAGCUAACCCCACCUAACCCCACCAAACUCCAACCAAAUACUAUUUUCUAUUCAUAAUAACCCACUAUCUUUUUUAUCACACCUACUCCAAUCAAUCAUUAUCCUUCUUUAUCAAUCAUUAUCUUGUUAUCCUACCUACUCCAACCAAACACUAUUUUUUAUUAUUCUAGAUUAACUCCAACCCCCAACCAAACAUAAAAAAACUUUAACUCCGAACUUAACUCUAUCCCUAGAAUAGCUAUUUUUUUCUUAACCCCGAACCAAACGGAGACAUAGAGAAUUCAAUUUCUCAUUUAAUAAACGCAUUGAAUGUUGUGUGCAAAUGGAGAGCAGUGAUGUAGUGUUCCCUUUCCUUGUGUUUGUUUGGAAAAGUCUCAUAUGUUUGGCAAGAAUUGGAAUGAUGGGGAGUUGAUAAAUCAAUCUUAUCAUGUUCAGGCUCUCCACCACUUUGGUUUUUAUUUCACUUUUUUUAUAAGGGGAUUGCAAUAUUUAAUUAAUUAAGUCGAUCAUCUUUUAAACAUACUAUAUUAAAUAAAAAAAAAACAAAUCAUUUUGCUUUGCAAGUUACUACUAGCAUUUGGCAUGCUUGUGUAUUUCACCUGACACAUAAAAACAGCAGCAAAAUGUGGGACGGCUUCAACUGCAUACAAGAACAAAAUUUGAAUUUAUAUACAAACUGUUGGAUGUGUGAUUUGCUCUGAUACUAAGGGGUUGUUUGGUUGUAUGCAUUUCCAACUGCAUUGCAGUUGGAAAUGCAUGCAUCUAUUAAUUUUUUGUUUGGUUUGGUGUAGUUAGACCGAACUGAUGCAGUUGCAUCUGCACGAGAAGGCCCAACUGCAGCAGUUGGUACUGCAGCCAAAUUGACCGUAGUACCAACUAUAACAGUUGAGCCGGAGUCGGCUCACCCAUUAAAAAAAUAAACAAAGUGUGAUUUUUUUUUCAUACACUUCUUUUUUCUUUUUUUUUUUUUUCAAAAAUACAUAUUCAUUUAUUUUGAACAAAUUCAUAAUAUAUUUACAUUUAAGAUUUAUUAAAUUCAUAUAUAAUUUUAUAAUAUAUAAAUUAUAUAUAGAUAUAAAAGUUUUAAUUAAUAUUUAAAACAUGAUUACGUUAUGCUCAGAAGAGGUAAUCUUACAUUUCUAUAUAAAAAUUGAUAGAAUUUACAAAUACAAAUCUCAACUGCAGCCUACCAAACAGAGGAAAUGUAACCGCAGCAGUUGCAACUGUAUAAAACCAAACAGACUAGGUGUAGUUAUAACUGCAGCAUUUGUAACUGCAUGCAUUUCCAACUACACUGUUUCUACAACUACAUCCAACCAAACGGCCCCUAAUUAGUGAAACUGGUAUUUGUACUGAUAUCGAAUAUAUAAUCCAAAAUUUAAAUAAAACAAAAUAAUAUAGAGAAGAGAUAUUGUGCGGAAAGGAGAAAACUAAAUUAAUACUUUAUUAAUAAAAAGUAAUUAAUUACAUUCUGUGCAACACCCAUGCAGCUAUGUCUACUGUGAUUUUUUCAUCUAAUUAAUCCAUACCUAACUAUAUAUACCUAUCAAGUCCAACUUUUACUUUGGAUAAUUAUAAAUCCUAUUCUAAUUAUGUAAACUUUUAAAUAUAAUCAAUGUAUAAAUUGAAUAUACUCGUAGUUGAGAUGGGUUAUUUUCGGAAGUACGAAUAAAUAAUAUUGAAACAUAGCGAAAUUUAAAUUAUUUUCAAAAGAUUUUAAAUCUAGUUUAAUAAAUGAUGAGUUGAAAAUCUUAUCAUCAAAAACAACUACAUUCCUGCUUCUAAAAGCACUCUUUCUCGUAUACAUAGGACAACAACCUAUUCCCAAGGAGAUGUCACCAAUCUUAGCACUUAAUUAAUUAAUCAUCAACAUUGCUUUAAGAUUCGAACUUGUCGCUUUACGUAACCAGUUAAAUUAAUACUAUGUGAUGGGAGUGUAUCUUUGGAGCAAGUAGCUAGUGUGGCUUUUUCGAUGCAACGAAGCAAAAGAGAAUCCAAGGGAGCAUGAUAUUCAUUUCUUAUGGUACACUGUCUCUAGUUAGGUAUAUAUUUCCUGUNGAUAUGUUGUGUCGACAUUUUCAAUCAUAAACUAGGACAUUGUGAAGUGUUCUCCUCUAAAACUAAUUAUUUGUCACCUUCUACAACCUAGUGUUUGGCACUCUAUAUUCUCAGAGCUAUUUUGUGUUUUCAUGCAAAGUCAAUAUAGUUACAGUAUAUGUACAUUAAUUGACAUAUGACAUCUCAAAUCUACAAAGGAAGGUUCAAUUAUAGUUACAGUAUAUGUACAAUUCUACAUUGAUAUAUGACAUCUCAAAUCUAUAAAGGAAGGUUCACUAAAAAAAAAAAAAAGAAAAAGAAAAAGAAAAAAAAAAGUUCUAUACAUUAAACAAGGGUUUUCAAAUUUGUCAACGAGCUAGUACUGCUAUAUACACCAAAUGAUGCUUUUAAAAUUUUUCAUAAAUUUCUUUUUAAGAGAUUUUUUUUUUGUUUUUGUUGAUUCGUAAAAAGUAUAAUUGAAUAUAUAAUUGGUUUAAUUAGUCUCAGUGUAAAAACUGUAUCCUUUUAUUUUAAUAAAACGGUCGUUUCUAUACAGUAGCUGAGCUAAAUUGCUGUCACGACUUUUAAAGCUGGCACCAUAUUAUAAACAAAUUUAUCUAAUAUUUUUUAUUUUUAUACUUAGAAAAAAAAAAGUUGGCACCAUCUAGUUUAGGUGAAAUAUUAUUAAUUUAUUAAAUAGGCGUGCAAACAUAUAUUAUUGGCCUAAUCGAGUUGUGGCCUUUCCCAAUCUACUAGAACCUUUACAUAAGGGACAAUUUUUUUUUUUUUUUAUUUCAUUUUUAUUUGUUUAACCUUUUCCUUUUUACGUACACUGACAAAAAGCUGUUCCUAGCAAGUACAAUAUUCUUCUUGUGGUAUUAUAAUACUAUUUAAAAAAUUACACUGUUGAUAAUCAGUGAUAAAACUUUUUACGUAAUUGUAACUAGUUUAUCCAAAUAUAUAUAUGUUUUUUUUACAAAAAAAUUGGGUCAUUUCGCUUGCAAAACUAUGUUUUGAUUCUCGAAUGGAAGAACUUUGUUAUAGCUAAUCAACUGUCGCAUUAUUUUCGUGUCGAAUACGAAUCAUUUCGAAUAUGUUGUUCAAUAUUUUUUUUUUGAGAGAGAAAGAUUGUAACGUUUUAAUUUAUAUUAUUUAGAAAUAAUCCGAGUUAGAAAUAUAAAACAGCUAAGUAUAAAACUUGAAAUUUUUAAAUACUAAUUAAUCAUCAAAUUCUUAACCAACUAUGGUAGAUAUGGUCGUUACAACACGUGCAAGUUAAUUAGGAGAGAGUUGUACAUGUGUUAAUUAAAAUUCUGAUCACUCUCACGCUUAAGACUCAGGUACUAUCACAUAAAAUCUACUAGCAUCGAAAAAGAAAAAGUAAAAAAAAAAAAGAAAAGAACAACGCCUACUUGUAUGUUCGUAUAAUGAUAUAUAAUACAAUAAUAUUUAAGAUGAUCGAUCCCUUAGAUCAACUCUCAAAAAAGGAACAAAAGAAAAAAGAGACCAAGAAAAACAAUCUCUUCAUGUAGAUCAAAAGUAAUUAUUCGCGACAACCAACCACGUUAUUCUCCUUCUCAACCUCGUGAUCAAACGAGAUCGUUGAUAACGGUGAAUCCGAAUCUAAAUCCGAACCCGAAAUAGCAGAAGCAGAAGCAGAAGCGGAGACUAAGCUCACGAGGAGAUCCACGAAGGCCCCCACGAUGAAUGCGUGCGUUUUUUGACCGUUCGCAUUUAAAUACCACGUGAGCAGUUCCUCGAGCCCCUCCCAGUCGCUGACCGCAUGCGCCACCACCAUCUCCUCCAUGGACGCACGGAAAUCUCUAUACGGGUCCGUUGACUCCACGGUCAACGCCACGCUCUCCUCGAACGGCGAGCCCGCCGAGUCAGCGUUGACUUCCCCCUCCUCCUCCUCCUCUCUCUUCUCCAUGCUAUUGUCUACAUCGUCGUUGUCGUCGUCAUCGUUGUUGUUAUGGUUGUUGCGACGUGCGUGCACAAUGGACCGGGUCGUGGCGCCCGGUUCGAAGAAGAGCCGGUCGGACCGGACCCGGACCGGGACCGGGACCAGUGCUUCGUGAGUCGGGCCGGGGAGUAGGCUCUCGGUGUCAUCGGAGGCGGUGGAGUAGGCGGUGUUGUCGUAGACCGAGUUUGCGGUGUUGUAGAUGGAGGCGGCGGCGGAGGCGGCGUGGGCGCGAAAGGAGUUGGUUUUUGGGUGCUUGCAUGAAGAAGGCCAUGGCCAUGAAGAAGGUGGAGGAGGGUAGCAAAAGUAGUAUUUGUUGUAAGAGGAGGAGGAAGAAGAAGAGGAGGAGGAGGAGGAGGAGGAGGAGGAGGAGGGUCUUGGGUUGUCUCUUAGCUUGAAGAGGAGAGAGCUCAAGCCCCUCUUGCCCAUUAAAAAUGGCUUCUUCUGCUUCUGCUUCUAGCUUUGGAUUAGCUUGUGAAGGAGACCGAAAUGGAGGAGGUGGUGGAAGUGGAGGAGGAGAGAGAGGGAAUGUAGAAAUGGAGAGAGAGAGAGAGAGAAAGAGAUUAGGUUAGUGUUGUUUUGAUGGGGGGUUUUGUAUUUAUAAAGGGAGAGGACGGUGGAGGGGAGGGAAUAGCUAAUGAGAAAAAGAGAAGGGGAUUAUGGGGAGAGUGGGAGAAAUUCUU
This 5617-nucleotide long non-coding RNA is filed under the name Ananas comosus (pineapple). Its description in RNAcentral is "long non-coding RNA (ACOM_LNC031023)". Lineage: Eukaryota; Viridiplantae; Streptophyta; Magnoliopsida; Poales; Bromeliaceae. The record is from RNAcentral.